RNAcentral lists this ribosomal RNA (885 nucleotides) under Pseudomonas fulva. Its description in RNAcentral is "partial 23S ribosomal RNA". It matches the Rfam family "Bacterial large subunit ribosomal RNA", at positions 322 to 1213 of the family's 2925-position model. Lineage: Bacteria; Pseudomonadati; Pseudomonadota; Gammaproteobacteria; Pseudomonadales; Pseudomonadaceae. The record is from RNAcentral.
UUUGAGAUUAGUGGAACGCUCUGGAAAGUGCGGCCAUAGUGGGUGAUAGCCCCGUACACGAAAAUCUCUUAUCAAUGAAAUCGAGUAGGACGGAGCACGAGAAACUUUGUCUGAAUAUGGGGGGACCAUCCUCCAAGGCUAAAUACUACUGACUGACCGAUAGUGAACCAGUACCGUGAGGGAAAGGCGAAAAGAACCCCGGAGAGGGGAGUGAAAUAGAACCUGAAACCGUAUGCGUACAAGCAGUGGGAGCCUACUUUGUUAGGUGACUGCGUACCUUUUGUAUAAUGGGUCAGCGACUUAUAUUCAGUGGCGAGCUUAACCGAAUAGGGGAGGCGUAGCGAAAGCGAGUCUUAAUAGGGCGUUUAGUCGCUGGGUAUAGACCCGAAACCGGGCGAUCUAUCCAUGGGCAGGUUGAAGGUUAGGUAACACUGACUGGAGGACCGAACCGACUACCGUUGAAAAGUUAGCGGAUGACCUGUGGAUCGGAGUGAAAGGCUAAUCAAGCUCGGAGAUAGCUGGUUCUCCUCGAAAGCUAUUUAGGUAGCGCCUCAUGUAUCACUGUAGGGGGUAGAGCACUGUUUCGGCUAGGGGGUCAUCCCGACUUACCAAACCGAUGCAAACUCCGAAUACCUACAAGUGCCGAGCAUGGGAGACACACGGCGGGUGCUAACGUCCGUCGUGAAAAGGGAAACAACCCAGACCGUCAGCUAAGGUCCCAAAGUCAUGGUUAAGUGGGAAACGAUGUGGGAAGGCUUAGACAGCUAGGAGGUUGGCUUAGAAGCAGCCACCCUUUAAAGAAAGCGUAAUAGCUCACUAGUCGAGUCGGCCUGCGCGGAAGAUGUAACGGGGCUCAAACCAUGCACCGAAGCUACGGGUAUCAUC